ACUACCUCCAUCCCAGAAUGGCCGCAUUUUUGUACAGUUUAUGUAUUUAAAAAUUUUUAUGAUUAGUAUUUUUAAUGUUAUUAGAGGAUAAAACAUGAAUAGUACUUUAUAUGUGACUAAUAUUUUUUAAAAAAUAUAUUAUAUUAAAAAAUAAGACGGACGGUCAAACAUUGGACACGGAAAUCCACAACUGCACAUAAA
Molecule: microRNA precursor, 201 nt
Organism: Oryza sativa Japonica Group (Japanese rice)
Lineage: Eukaryota; Viridiplantae; Streptophyta; Magnoliopsida; Poales; Poaceae
Rfam family: MIR812 microRNA precursor family
Source: Rfam